Molecule: transfer RNA, 73 nt
Filed under: Canis lupus familiaris (dog)
Lineage: Eukaryota; Metazoa; Chordata; Mammalia; Carnivora; Canidae
Also listed under: 1 other name
Rfam family: tRNA
About the family: Transfer RNA (tRNA) molecules are approximately 80 nucleotides in length. Their secondary structure includes four short double-helical elements and three loops (D, anti-codon, and T loops).
Source: Rfam by way of RNAcentral
ACCUGGCUGGCUCAUUUGGAGGAGCAUGAGACUCUUGAUUUCAGAGUUGUGAGUUUGAGCCCCAUGUUGGGUG